AGAGUUUGAUCCUGGCUCAGGACGAACGCUGGCGGCGUGCCUAACACAUGCAAGUCGAGCGAUUCCUUCGGGAAGAGCGGCGGACGGGUGAGUAACGCGUGGGUAACCUGCCCUGUACACACGGAUAACAUACCGAAAGGUAUGCUAAUACGGGAUAAUAUAUGAAAGUUGCAUAGCUUUCAUAUCAAAGCUUUUGCGGUACAGGAUGGACCCGCGUCUGAUUAGCUAGUUGGUAAGGUAAAGGCUUACCAAGGCGACGAUCAGUAGCCGACCUGAGAGGGUGAUCGGCCACACUGGAACUGAGACACGGUCCAGACUCCUACGGGAGGCAGCAGUGGGGAAUAUUGCACAAUGGGCGAAAGCCUGAUGCAGCAACGCCGCGUGAGCGAUGAAGGCCUUCGGGUCGUAAAGCUCUGUCCUCAAGGAAGAUAAUGACGGUACUUGAGGAGGAAGCCCCGGCUAACUACGUGCCAGCCGCCGCGGUAAUC
This 488-nucleotide ribosomal RNA is filed under the name uncultured bacterium. RNAcentral describes it as "bacterial SSU rRNA". It matches the Rfam family "Bacterial small subunit ribosomal RNA", at positions 8 to 525 of the family's 1533-position model. The record is from RNAcentral.